GAGAGGUGCUCGAGUGGUUGAAGAGGCACGCCUGGAAAGCGUGUAUACCUCCAAAGGGUAUCGAGGGUUCGAAUCCCUCUCUCUCC
This 86-nucleotide transfer RNA is filed under the name Schmidingerella taraikaensis. It matches the Rfam family "tRNA". Rfam says of the family: Transfer RNA (tRNA) molecules are approximately 80 nucleotides in length. Lineage: Eukaryota; Ciliophora; Spirotrichea; Tintinnida; Rhabdonellidae. The record is from RNAcentral.